UACGAAGGGGGCUAGCGUUGUUCGGAAUUACUGGGCGUAAAGCGCACGCAGGCGGACUGAUUAGUCAGGGGUGAAAUCCCGGGGCUCAACCCCGGAACUGCCUUUGAUACUGUCAGUCUCGAGUCCGGGAGAGGUGAGUGGAAUUCCUAGUGUAGAGGUGAAAUUCGUAGAUAUUAGGAAGAACACCAGUGGCGAAGGCGGCUCACUGGCCCGGUACUGACGCUCAGGUGCGAAAGCGUGGGGAGCAAACAGG
RNAcentral lists this non-coding RNA (253 nucleotides) under uncultured bacterium. Its description in RNAcentral is "partial 16S ribosomal RNA". It matches the Rfam family "Bacterial small subunit ribosomal RNA", at positions 524 to 776 of the family's 1533-position model. The record is from RNAcentral. RNAcentral also lists the same sequence under 1 other name.